Molecule: unclassified non-coding RNA, 214 nt
Filed under: plant metagenome
Description: partial contains small subunit ribosomal RNA, internal transcribed spacer 1, and 5.8S ribosomal RNA
Source: RNAcentral
UCUCCGUUGGUGAACCAGCGGAGGGAUCAUUACCGAGUUUACAACUCCCAAACCCCUGUGAACAUACCUAUGUUGCUUCGGCGGGAUCGCCCCGGCGCCUUCGGGCCCGGACCCAGGCGCCCGCCGGAGGACCCAAACUCUUGUCUUCAUGAGAACCUUCUGAGUGAUACAAGCAAAUAAAUUAAAACUUUCAACAACGGAUCUCUUGGUUCUG